This 253-nucleotide ribosomal RNA is filed under the name uncultured bacterium. RNAcentral's name for it is "partial 16S ribosomal RNA". It matches the Rfam family "Bacterial small subunit ribosomal RNA", at positions 524 to 776 of the family's 1533-position model. The record is from RNAcentral.
UACGAAGGGGGCUAGCGUUGUUCGGAAUCACUGGGCGCAAAGCGCACGCAGGCGGAUCGAUAAGCCGGGGGUGAAAGCCCGGGGCUCAACCUCGGAAUUGCCUUCGAUACUGUCGGUCUCGAGUCCGGGAGAGGUGGGUGGAAUUCCUAGUGUAGAGGUGAAAUUCGUAGAUAUUAGGAAGAACACCAGUAGCGAAGGCGGCUCACUGGCCCGGUACUGACGCUCAGGUGCGAAAGCGUGGGGAGCAAACAGG